CAAGGUGCUGCAUGGCUGUCGUCAGCUCGUGCCGUGAGGUGUCGGGUUAAGUCCCAUAACGAGCGCAACCCCUAUCAUUAGUUGCUAACAGGUUAAGCUGAGGACUCUAGUGAGACUGCCACCGUAAGGUGUGAGGAAGGUGGGGAUGACGUCAAGUCAGCACGGCCCUUAUAUCCGGGGCUACACACGUGUUACAAUGGUCGAUACAAAGGGCAGCUACACCGCGAGGUGAUGCAAAUCUCUAAAGUCGAUCUCAGUUCGGAUUGAAGUCUGCAACUCGACUUCAUGAAGUUGGAUUCGCUAGUAAUCGUGCAUCAGCAACGGCACGGUGAAUACGUUCCCGGGCCUUGUACACACCGCCCGUCAAGCCAUGGAAGCUGAGGGUACCUGAAGUCUGUAACCGCAAGGAACGGCCUAAGGUAAAAUUAGUAACUGGGGCUAAGUCGUAACAAGGUAGCCGUACCGGAAGGUGUGGCUGGAACACCUCCUUUUUAGAG
This 497-nucleotide ribosomal RNA is filed under the name Acidobacteriota bacterium. RNAcentral describes it as "bacterial SSU rRNA". It matches the Rfam family "Bacterial small subunit ribosomal RNA", at positions 1034 to 1533 of the family's 1533-position model. Lineage: Bacteria; Pseudomonadati; Acidobacteriota. The record is from RNAcentral.